Molecule: long non-coding RNA, 405 nt
Organism: Lacerta agilis (Sand lizard)
Lineage: Eukaryota; Metazoa; Chordata; Lepidosauria; Squamata; Lacertidae
Exons: 3
Source: RefSeq, a predicted model, not a curated record
UGCCCAUCAGGGCUUGCCACAUCCAUCUUGCAAAGGACGGUUGGCAUCCCACAAGAUUUCAUCAGUCCUCCAGCCACCUAUAAAUAGAGGGACCUCUCCUUCCCCAGUCAACUGCUCUUCCACUUGGCUUCUGGUACCUCCAGGAUUCCCAACAACCUCCAGUCAUGAAGAUCUUCUGCCUCCUCUCUGUUGCCGUCCUCUUCUUGAUGCUGCUGGCUCCAGAUUUCACCAGAGCCCAAGGAUCCAAAUGUCAUGGGACCCAAUGUCCUACUCAGAGAUGCCAACAGAACGGGGGAAGAUGCCAAGUACGGUGCCGGCCGCCCCAAGUGGCAGUUUUUAGGUGCUCUGGUCGCCAACGGUGUUGCCGUAGAAGAUAUUAACUCUGCCGACCUCCGGUGAAAGACC